Long non-coding RNA from Hypanus sabinus (Atlantic stingray), 3519 nucleotides. RefSeq lists it as uncharacterized. The transcript has 5 exons. The record is from RefSeq and is a predicted model, not a curated record. Lineage: Eukaryota; Metazoa; Chordata; Chondrichthyes; Myliobatiformes; Dasyatidae.
GGACUCCGGGGAAUCAUCGCCCCAUCCCACACCCGGACGAAAUGGCAGACAGUCAAGGGGAACCAGCGCACAAGGACUAUGCAAGUCUUCCACCCCAGCCCGAGAGCCGCAGGGCAGGAGACAGAUAGGAGGACAGACCAUGCCAAUGCUAAACCAACAUACUUAAUAUGAGCCUGGCAGAAAACUUCAGGGAACGAUCUGAAAGCUCCCCUAAACCCUCGGGUGACAUCCCCCUCUUCCUGAGACGGCCGUUCUCCGUUUCGGCUGACGGCCAGUGGACUGCGGAGGCCAAAAUGCUAGUGCCCUCCACAGAUGAGGCAACUCUUCAGAUGGAGGUCUUGGAAAUGGGAACAUCUGAUUUGCUCAAAGCACAACACAAGGACGUUGGAGUGAGUGACUUUUGGAUCAACGUGGUACCCCAAGCUCAAUUCAAAAACACAAGAGCUAUUGCAAUGCUCCUGCUCAUGCUGUUCCCCUCCACGUGCAUAUGUACUCUAUCAAGAACCAGGACAGAAACAGACUCUCCAAUGCACGUCUUGGCCAGUGCCUCAGGAUUGUCACAACAGAAUACAGGCCUGACGUCAGAAGGAUUGCCUCAUCCUGUCGCUGUCACUUCUCUCACUGAGUGAACUUCACUUACAACACAGUUGAACAGCAUUCCAUGAAUCCAGCAAUGAAGUACAAGUGGGAUGCUACAUCAAAUAUUAAAACUGAGGAACUUCACAGAGAAAAUGAGAGAGUAAAUUUGCGAGUGGAAUAUUUGAAUCAGCAAAUUAAACAACGCAACAAAUUAAAGGACACUGUCACAAUGUUACAAGAGAGUCAUAGAGCCAUCAUAUCCUCCUAUAAUUACUUACAAGAACUGCUGAAUGCAACUCAACAGGGGACAGACAUGCCAAAUCUUGGCUCUCGGCAUACAGAAGUAUGGAGCAAGCUGUCAGCUUCAGGAAUCUCAGAUAACCCUCAUCAUUCAAAUACAGCCAUCACAGUAAUAGAGAUAUAGUGUAAUGAAAGUGCAGUUAGUACAGGAACUCAUUUUAGUAGUUAGUGUAACUUCAUCAAAUACCCAAUUCUAAAAAAAUUAAUUUUUGUAGGAAAUAGUACACGAGCAAAGCCUAAAUUUUUUGUGCAGAUAAACCCUUAGUUUGACAAAAUUAACAGUUGGUCUGGAAUAAAUAUGCUGUGUUAAUGCUAGACCACCUGGAACUAAAUGUAUUGGAGAAUAGGCAGGGUUAACAUUGGAAUCAGUUUGUCAUGCAGAGAGACCUCAACUGGUCUGUGUGUGUUCCUAACCUUUUUAAAAUCAAAAGUGUUAUGUAUGAUGCUUACAAGACGAAGUCUUAGUUUGAUUUUUAUGUGUAAACGGUUGGUAACGUGCAAUGAAUUGGCGAUACGUUCCUGGAAUGUAAUAAAUGUUUCUAUCUGGUUUGCUAAAAUAGGCAGUUUUUCAUGCACAUGAACAAACUUGUAAUCUAGUUUCCGAUCAUUACAUAUAGCUUGCAAUACACAGAAGUGGAGCUUAUACCAAAUUGUAUUCCACAUAAUAAUAUUGUCUUGGGAGUUAUAAAACUGUAAUAAUAGUGUUGAGAAUAAGCUAGGAAUGGCAAUUGAAAUAAGAAUCAGUGUUGGUGGAAUCACUAAACAGGGCCGCCAGGAUCAUCGACCUGAAUCAUUAACACUUCCUUUUAGUUUACCAACCCACUGAGUGCUUCAGCGUUUUUCAUUUUAGCUUUCCAGCAUCUGAAGUUUUUUAGAAAAACAUAAAAAUAUAGAUGUUGGAAAUGUAAAAUUUACUAAGUAGUAAUGGCACUAGAUUUACAGCAUCAGUGAAUACAGAUGGGAUUGGAUUCCUACCAUGUUCUCCCCGUGAUUGUGUGAGUUUCCUCUGCAUGUUCUACUUUCUGUCCACAUUCCUAAGAUGUAGGGUGAGGGUGAGAAAGUUGUGGCCAUGCUAUGUUGGGGCCAGAAGCAUGCUGACACUUGUGGGCUGCCACCAGCAGAACCCUUGCUGAUUUGACACACAUAUCACAGUUCACUAAGUACAUCCGACAAAUAAAGCUAACCUUUAAUCUUCAAGUGUUGAAGCACUUUAAAACAAAACAGUAAAACGGUAGAAGUGUAUAGCAGGGGUCAGGCAGUAUCUAUGGGAGAGAAGCAGAGUUGAUGCUCAGGUAGAUGAGUUUGCAUAAACUUUUAGAAUGUUCUGGAACUGAUCCUUCUGUUCUCUUUAUAGGCAGCACUGACCUGCUGAAUAUUUCCAGUAUUUUCUGUUUCUGUGUCAGUUGUGUUUUUGUAGCCUUUAUUUUGACUGUCUAUUUAGAAAGAUUAAGUGUUGAUCAUGUUCCUAAUGGUUUCAAUUGCCAUUCUGCACUCAGGGAAUGGAAUGGAAGGUGUUUAAGAGAAUGUGUUUUGAUCAUUAUGCAAUUUGACAUAUACAUUUAAUUUAUGGAUCUGUCUAGUCACAAAACAUAGUGGCACAUAGCUACAAAUUUAAAUUUACAUUUAGAUCUACCGUGUCUUCAUAGCUACAAUGGAAAUGUCAAAAUAUGAUGGUGUACUUUUACAAUGGUGUUUGUUCGAUUCUGAGAGGAUUCAUUUUGGGACCAUUAGUAUUCCCUCUGUACAUUGAUGAUGAAACCCCGAGACUUAAUAAUUGGAAAAAGACACAUAAGUAAUAAGUGGAUAAUUACUUUCUAAUUUAUUGUGAACUAGAUUGCAUUGACUGAAAGUUAAAUGAAAGCAGAUUCACUUGAUCUUUCAAAACCAGAACAAAUGAAAUAUUAGAAUGUCUAAAUAUGAAUAUUUCAAGUUCUGUGCACAAUGUAAAUAGAAUUAAGAUCGCCAAGUUGAUGAAAUCAAAUUUGUUACUUUAAGAUAUUUUUCAGUUUUGUAUUUGACUUAUACUUUGUGCUGCCAUUACAAUACAUAAGUGUAAUAUCUUACAGCAUUGAAACUGCUGGUUCAUCUACUUUUUGUGAAACAUUAUGCUUUUCAAGAAUAUCUUCUAGAACCAACAAGGGUAUAUUUUUGGCUAAUAAUGUGAUGAGCUAACUUUAAUUAGCAGCUUAGUGUGGUGUGGCAUGAAUCUUUAUCUAUUACAGAUCAAACCAUGACCAUGUUCACCACAGAUUUUGCAGGGAAGAAACAUUUGUUCAAUGUUUAUAUGCAAAUUAUAAGAUGGGGGAAUGGGACAAAAGGGGAGAUUAGAUCAGCUCAUGAUGAAAUGGCGGAGCAGACUUGAUGGGCUGAAUGGCCGACUUCUGCUCCUUUGUCUUGUCUUAUGGAAUAAGACUGAUGAGAGAUUGAAGGUGUGAUUGUAAUCUGGGGAAACUAGAAAUGGGUAAAAUAACAUAUCAACAGAAACGCAUGUGAUUGUGAACAGUCUUGUCGUUCAGAGAACUUUUUUUUUCCAAAUCCUGUAUGAGAUUGAUGAAAGGUAUAUUGAGAAAAUGAUCUUGUAUAUUAUACAGAUGAUGGCAUAAUCUGGUAUGUGUUAAAUUGAAUACAAUAAAAUGUGGA